Molecule: long non-coding RNA, 7254 nt
Filed under: Glycine max (soybean)
Lineage: Eukaryota; Viridiplantae; Streptophyta; Magnoliopsida; Fabales; Fabaceae
Description: long non-coding RNA (GMAX_LNC001883)
Source: RNAcentral
UGGAGGAGGAGAGUUGUAGUAAUAAGGUGAACGAGGCUUUGGAGAUGGUGGAGGUGGAGAUUGGAGGAAGAGAGUUGUAGUAGUAGUAGGGUGAAUGAGGCUUAGGAGAUGGUGGAGGUAGAGAUUUAUAGUAUUAAGAUGUUUGAGAAUAAAUACGUAUGUUGAAGAUCUAAUUUAUUAUGUUAUUAAUUUGUAAAAAAUUAUUCUUUAUUUUAUUAUCAUAUUCAUUAUUAAAUUGUUAAUUUGAUAAGUCAUUGAUUAAAAUUAGAUGUUUGUUAUCAUGAUAGAGAUUAUGAUAAUGAGAAACAAAUUUUUUAUAAUUUUAAUUCAAAUUAUUCUUGAUAGUAUGAUUAUCGUGAAUAGGACAUCAAUAAUCAUGAUAGAUUAAUAUAUAUGUAAUGAUCUUUAUUGAAUAAAGAUUAAUAAAUUUUUAUUGAAUAAUGAUCUUUAACACGAGAUUAUCAUAGUAAUUAAUAAGUUAUUGGUAUAUUUUAAUUUCGGAUGCCUAAUGUCUUAGAACACUAGUUGAAUGAAUAUUAGAUAUGAUUAAAUACUUGUAAAAUUAAUGAUUAAUCAAGAAGGAAUCCAUCAAUUCUAGGUAAUGAGUUUGAGUUCUAUUUUAGAAUUAAGACAUUGACUAAGGCAAUUGAAUGAAAGAAGAAAAUAGUUUCUUAAGUCAUUCAUGUGUUAGCUUAUUAGAGUUUGACAAUAAUACUAUACUCUAGAGUUAACCUAUGAUGGAAGCAAAUAUUAUAUUCUUCUUCUAUUGGUUCUCGAAGGGAAAAAGAUUUUGUUUCAGGUUAUCCGGACUUUAAGGAGUGUUGUUAAACGCCUAACUUGAUUAAUAAAUUAAUUAUGAUUAAUUUAUUAUCAAUUUAGUAUUGAACCUACAAGGUCACACACAAACGAGUAUUUCAAUAUUUACAAAAGAAAAUAAUUUAUUUUGAUAAUUAAAUUAGAGAAUUUAAUUUAAUCAAAUAAAUAUUUUAGUGAAAUAUUAUUAUAUUUUUUGCUAGGACCAAUAAUAUAAUUAAUAUAUAAAAAGGGAAUAUUAUUUUAUAAUUGUGAAGAUGUCCAUAAAAUAAGAAUAAUAUUCAAUUGCUAUGUAUCAAGGAUGUGAUUAAUUAUUGUAAUUAGUUAUGUGAUUAAUUAUGAAUUAUCUUUAUCUUAAAUCAGUAAGCUUCUUAAAAUAAAAUAUAUGAGAUAAUAUUUUUUUUAUAAAGACAAAUAUAAAUGAAAUUAUUUUAUAUAUUUUCUUUUUUUUCUCACCCAAAUCCAUAUCUCUUUAAUAUUAUGAAUAAAAGUAUCUAUAUGAGGCAAAGCGUACUAAAUAAAGACUGAAAAAGGUUCAAGUCUAGUUUUAGACGUGAAAAGUAGAAAAAAAAUUAUUCUUUAGAGUUUCAUCCAUCAAAGAAUUUGAUAAUAAAGAUUGACCUGAGUAUAGAUACAAGUAGAGUUUUUAGACUAUUAAAAAAAAUGUGUUGCUUCAAAACCUACAUUUUGAUGCAUUAAUUUAUUAUUUAUUUAUUUAUUAUUAUUGUAUAUUUUGAAUAUAAAAUAAAUCCUAAUUUUUUUCCUACAAUUAUUAGAAACAUUUUUAUGUAACUAUCAUACUACACACACGAGGAUAUGAGGAUAUGGUGAAUGAGGUGGUGGAAACUUAUAAUAGUAAGUUGGAAGAGAUGGUGGAGGAGAAGAUUUGUAGGAAUAAGGUAUUGGACGACUUCAUUUUGUGGAAAGAGUCAUGAUUUAAUUUGUUUUUCCUCUCCUUCUCUUAAAAUUUAGUUAUGCCCGUAUAUCUUAUUGAAAACCACAUUUUUUUAGUCUUUCUGGACUGGAUACCCCUACCCCUGGCCAUGAUCAUAAUUCAUAACUAUUAUAUAUAUAUUACACGUAUUUUAUUUGUAACAAAUGGUAUAUCGAUGAGUUUUCUGAAUGUUUGAUCACAUGGAAAAUUUCUGAACGCGUCCUAGAGACUGAAACAGUUUUAUUUGCGCAAUAUAGAGUGUCGGUUUACUAAAAGAACGCACAGAUAGAUAUAUAUCUAUUCCAAAAUGAAGCGUAUGUAUACACGGAAUGAAAAAUGAUUAGUAAUAAUAAAUUAAUUUUACGAAAAUUUAUAAUUCUUUUAUUUUUUAUCUCUCUUAGUCGUUAAAAAGAUUAUGUAAAAUAUUGUAUGAGGACAGUUUCUUAAUAGAAACAUUCUAAUGCAUGUGAUACGUACGGAAUUAUUAUAAUUACAGUUGCACGAAGUAUAUUAUUAAUUAAUAUUCUCCUGUUAACAACCUUUUUUAUUGAGUAGUGUUUUUUCAUUGGAGGAAAUCCUUAAAUAUAUUUUUGGUGAAUCUAAGUUUACUUAAGCGGUACAUUAAUUAGAAAAAAAUAUUUUUUCCCCUAUUUUGUUUAUAUAAGUAAAAAAGUGAGAAUUAUAUGAACGUGCGAAGUGUGUGUAUGAGAUAAUAUUUGUUUUACAUAAUAUACCCUAAAUCAUAAAAGAAGCUUCACUGUGUAACUUAAAUUAAAAUUUGUAUAUCUCCCCCAUGUGCGUCUGACUACUGUUACCAUGCAUAUUCUAAUUAAGAACCCUGUUAGUGCCUUUCUUCUUUUUAUCCUCUUUCCUUCAUGAUCACCAUUGUUAAAUGGCAGUCAAUUCCAUGUACGUAUUGCAUCUCUGAAUUCAAGUCUAGCUGUCUCAUCGAGUUUAAUUUGUGAUAAUUGGUCUCAAGUAAAAAAGACCACUAAUUUGAUCAUUAAAUAUAUAUAUAUAUAUAUAUAUAUAUAUAUAGACAUAUAUAUAUAUAUAUAUAUAUAUAUAUAUAUAUAUAUAUAUAUAUAUAUAUAUAUAUAUAUAUAUAUAUAUAUAUAUAUAUAUAUAUAUAUAUAUAUAUAUAUAUAUAUUGAACAAUGCUAAUUAAAUACCAUAUAUAGUCAGAAAUAGAUCAGUGGGGGGUGCAUGUAUGUUAAGUUAGAAAGAGAUAAGAUCGUGGUUGUGGCAUAUAGACGUGCAUGGGGUGGUGUGGCUUAUAUGAUAUGAGAAAAUCAAGUAAUUGCAGGCAUUUUUUUUAAAAAAUAAAAUGACUUCAUUAAUCGUCUCCAACAUCAGUUAUAUAUAUUGACAUGUUUUUUAAAAUAAUCAAAACUGUCUCGCUCCCAAAUCCCUCUCACUUCUUUUCUUCCCUCUCACUGGCUUAGGGAUUUUCACUUUCGAAAAACAUGACUUAGGCCAUAAUUGAAGCCAUUAGACAGUAAUAUAUCAUAUGAGCAGGGGCCAAUCCAAACUCAAAUGGCUGUGAGGACCGAUAAUAAAAAAUAAAAUUCAUCUAACACAUCAUAAAAAUAUAUAUUCAUAAAUUAAUGUUUUAAAAUGUUAAUUACAAUAAUAAUCUAUUAAAACACGGGACCUUAUUCUUAUAUGUACUAAAUUUUUUAUCAAUUCUUCAAUGUAUAUUAACAAAAUGUGAAUCAAGAAUCCAUCUUUCAUCUUCUUUAAUAAUUAUAGAUUAACAAAAUUUGAGAAAAAUAAAACCUACUAUAUAAUAAGUAGAAUUAGUCAAAUAUAAUAUUCGGAUAAGAUAUUUUACAAAAAAAGAAAUAAAAUUACUAUUGAUUUUAUAAUUUAAAAUUACAGAAAAUAAAAAUUGAUGGUAUAAUAACAAAAAUUGUUAAAAAAUAAUAUUUAAAUAUUUUUUUUAAAAAAAGACAAAAUUGCUAUUGAUUUUAUAGUUUGAAAAAAAAGAGAUAAAAACAAUUAUAUAAAUUGAUGGAUUUGAAUCCAUCCAUUUUUUUUUAUGGAUAAAUUAGAUGAAUUUAUUGUGGAUGAAUUAAUUGGAUAAUGGAUAAAUGAAUUCAUUUGUCACCACUAGCCUGGGACCUAGUCAUGUCCACCAUAGUGGAAAAGUUAUUUUGACCAUUGGAUUUAAAUUUUUCUUGAGAUAAGUGCAGGCUUAUCUUAAGACAAGUUACACUGGAUUAUUAUUAUUAUUAUUAUUAUUAUUAUUAUUAUUUUCCUUAAAAAGUGUUAUUCUUUCCUGUUCUAGUUUAUCGCCCCUUUCUUUCUCUCUCCGACUCUCCCUUCCAUCUACUUAUUCUCCUCCUCCCCUUUUUCAAAAUGUCAUGCUUCUUCGGUGACCUCAACAACUUCUUUGUCAUCAAGCUCCUCGUCGGACACGUAGUUAGCUAUGGUAGGAUUUGAAUACGAAAGAAUGGGCUUCAACGUCCACAAAAUGCUGAUUGGUGCGAUUGUUACUUUAAUGCAAGUGUAGGUAGGUUUGGAGCUUUGAUGUAGGUUUGGGAUAUGUGUGUGUGUGUGGAAAGAAACACGACCUAAAUUUAGGGGAUAUGUAGAUUAUUAUGCUUUUUUAUGCAAAUAUUGACAAAUUUAUUGCAAACAACACAAAAAGAUAUAUUAAAAGAAUUUCACAAUAAUUUGAAUGAAAUCAUACACAAUCAACCAUAUUAAUCUACAAAGAAACAAAUAAGAAAGCUCUAAAAGCAGCCUGAAUUGAUAUCAACAUUUCUAAUCUUGCUUCCUUGUCUUGAAUCUUUUUGAUUUGUCGCUUCCUUGAACUUAGUAAGAACAACACUUGAAAAAUGGCCACCAAAUAAAUAGAAGCAACCUCAUAUGAGUCAUGAAGAUCGUAGCUUAGAGGUGAUACACUCAGACUCUUAUUCAAAGAACUUGUAUAACAAAUUAUAUGCUUAACUCUGCUCCAAAUGGAACGGAAAUUUAUUCCACAAUGAAUACUAGAACCUGAAAUAAAAUAAAAGUUUUCAAUACUUCUCAGAGUUUAUAAAUGCAUAUAAAAUAGACAUUUAUCUANNNNNNNNNNNNNNNNNNNNNNNNNNNNNNNNNNNNNNNNNNNNNNNNNNNNNNNNNNNNNNNNNNNNNNNNNNNNNNNNNNNNNNNNNNNNNNNNNNNNNNNNNNNNNNNNNNNNNNNNNNNNNNNNNNNNNNNNNNNNNNNNNNNNNNNNNNNNNNNNNNNNNNNNNNNNNNNNNNNNNNNNNNNNNNNNNNNNNNNNNNNNNNNNNNNNNNNNNNNNNNNNNNNNNNNNNNNNNNNNNNNNNNNNNNNNNNNNNNNNNNNNNNNNNNNNNNNNNNNNNNNNNNNNNNNNNNNNNNNNNNNNNNNNNNNNNNNNNNNNNNNNNNNNNNNNUGGUGAUGGUGAUGGUGGCGGGGGAGAUUUAUAGUAAUAUGGAGGAGGUGAUGGUGAUGGUGGAGGAGGGCUCUUGUAGUAAUAAGAAGGUGGGGGAGGAGAUUUGUAAUAGUAUGUUGGUGGUGGUGGAGGUGGUGACUUAUAGUAGUAAGGAGGGUGUGGGUGCGGUGAGGGUGAAGGGGGUGGGGGAGAGUUGUAAUAAUAUGGUUUGUGAUAAGGAGUAGGGGAAGGCUUGGGCUUGGGCUUUUCGCAAUCAUAUGACUUUUCAGGAGCAUAAGCAAAUGGCUUAGCCUUGAGCACAACUUCAUACUUAUCCUUGGACUUCACCUUCAAUUUGGUUCCCUCAUUAAGCUUGGUGGGUAUGUUACAGCGUGAAUCCUUAGGAGGAGCAUGGAGUUUAGCCUUGCAGACUGUGGCUCCAUAUUUCACAUAGUCAAAGCCUUCAACAGUGAUGCUGUACUUUCCAUUGCUCUUAGUUUUACCAUAAGCUUUUAUGGUCUUGCUCCCAACUUCACAAGUCACUUCGACCGUGGCACCUAAUUAACGAUGCCAUUAAAUGUGUGGAUCGCACAUGUUAUUGACAAAUCAAUCUAACAUAUAAAACCAUGACAUUAUUGUUUUCUUUAAUUUUAACGGAAGGAAAUGUUUUGUGAACACAAAAUGGGAUAAUAAAGUUAUUUCUUAUAACAUUAUGAUGUGUUUUUAAAACACGUGUACGAAAAAAAAGAAGCAUGUGUUACAUUAAUAAAUCUUUAUUUUUAAAGGUUUAAAUAAUAUAAAUAAAAUUAAAAUAGUUAACCUAUCCUAGCUUUUUCAUAUUUUGAUUGUUGGCUUCAUUGAUUACAUAAGAAAUAGUCGAUUCUAAACAAUAUUUUCUAUUUUCCAACAAAAAUUGUAUUUUUUUUUAUUGAAAUUCCAACUAAAGUCCUCUUCAAAAAAAAAUUGACAACUUUCUGUUUGAAAAGGGUAAUAUAGGUACUUUAAAAAGUAGUAUAUGUUUAGGUUGGUCAUUUGUUUAAUUAGUUAGCAUAGAUCAAGAUUCUCAAAAAUAUUUUUUUGUUAAAAUAUUUUCUCAAAUUGAAACAUGUUUUAUUUCUUAAUUGAAAUGAUAAUUACAAAAAAAAACUAGUUGACUAAAUAAAAAAAGGAGAAAUUAUAACUGUAAAAUUAUUUUAUAUUAGUUUUUUUUACAAAUUUUAUAGAGAAAAGAAAAAAAUGAGAAAAUAUCAAAUAAUUAAAUGAUUUAAUAGAAAAAAUAAAAAAAUAUGACUAAAAUACUAUAAGAAUAUUAUAUUGUAUUAAAAACAACUGUUUAUGUAUAAAUGCAGUUGAACUUCUCUAGACACAACAACACACACAUAACAAUAUCGAUGUAAUUAUACAAAUAAAAAUAUGAGCUUGAAAAAGAAAAAUUAAUUAAAGAAACAUAUAUGGCAGCCAAUGUCCCAAAUUAAAAUUUUGAGAAAAACAAAAGUACAGAUUAAUAUUACCAAAAAGUAACAUUUUUGAAGUAUUCAUAAUAUUAUUAUUGUGAAUGUAUUAGAAUGAAAUAGUAAAAAAAUAAAAGUAAUGUAGGUACCUUUGAGGUGUUUCUUGUUGUGCGACUUUUGGGGGUAUUUCCAGUCAUAACAUCUAUAACAAUAGACUUUACCCACAAUCUUAACAAUCAAUGGGUGAUGAUAUGGGUGAGGGUGAGGAUAUGGAGUGUAUGGAGGAGGCUUAGGAGAUGGUGGAGGCAGAGAUUUAUAGUAGUAAGGCACAUGAGGAGGAUACGGUGAAGGAGGAGGUGGAGACUUAUAAUAGUAAGGUGGAGGAGGUGAAGGAGAUGGUGGAGGAGGAGAUUUGUAGUAGUAAGGUGGUGGAGGAGAUGGUGAAGGAGGAGGCGGAGACUUGUAGUAAUAUGGAGGAGGGGGUGAGGGAGAUGGAGGAGGAGGAGAUUUGUAGUAGUAUGGUGUUGGAGCUGGGUGACUUCUCAGGUGGGGGAGGAGACUUGUAGUAGUAUGGUGGUGGUGGUGAUGGUGAAGGUGGUGGUGGGGACUUGUAGUAGUAAGGAGGUGGAGGUGAUGGAGAGGUGGUGGCGGGAAUUUAUAGUAGUAAGGAGGG